UACGUAGGGGGCUAGCGUUGUCCGGAAUCAUUGGGCGUAAAGCGCGCGUAGGCGGUCAGGUAAGUCCGGUGUGAAAGUCAAAGGCUCAACCUUUGAAUGCCGCUGGAUACUGCCUGACUUGAGUCCGGAAGGGGCGAGUGGAAUUCCAGGUGUAGCGGUGAAAUGCGUAGAUAUCUGGAGGAACACCGGUGGCGAAGGCGGCAUCCUGGACCGACACUGACGCUGAGGCGCGAAAGCUAGGGUAGCAAACGGG
RNAcentral lists this ribosomal RNA (253 nucleotides) under uncultured bacterium. RNAcentral's name for it is "partial 16S ribosomal RNA". It matches the Rfam family "Bacterial small subunit ribosomal RNA", at positions 524 to 776 of the family's 1533-position model. The record is from RNAcentral.